Molecule: unclassified non-coding RNA, 546 nt
Filed under: Hevea brasiliensis (rubber tree)
Lineage: Eukaryota; Viridiplantae; Streptophyta; Magnoliopsida; Malpighiales; Euphorbiaceae
Source: RNAcentral
AUUACAAUGCAAUAUUUUCUUCUAAACAAAGGACACAAAUACACAAAUACAACAAUACAGACACCAACAAAUAGAAUGAUGGGAGAAUGAAGAGGUAGAAUACAAGAUAUCAACCUAAUAAAGAAGAGAAAAAAUGUGUGAUGUCGUCAACUUCCCGAAGCAAAGGAGGCUGCAUAACUACGUCGUCUUCCCCAUCGCUUGAGAAUGAUGAGUGUGGCUUAAAGGUUCUGAAGGAGUCACAGCAUGGAAAUAGGAGCUCAAGUAGCUGGAGAUGGAGGCAUUUCAGAGCUGCAGGAUGAUAGAAUGUGGCCUUCAUAUCCACAUUCUUAGCCUCUGGUCUGUCUCGUGUUGUAGGACUUGCAAUUCAAGCACUUUUGAGCCACAACAUGAUACUGCACCUUCGACGUCUUACUGCAAUCGUUGCAAAGAAUCCAGACCAUUUUAUUUUGGUAUGGCUCUGGAACGGGCGUAGCUGCAAUUUCCAUGUCAAAUUUUUCCCACACCUUGGACAUAUCACAAACGGACUUGGAGCAGAGAGGGCAAGCA